This 206-nucleotide ribosomal RNA is filed under the name uncultured bacterium. RNAcentral's name for it is "partial 16S ribosomal RNA". It matches the Rfam family "Bacterial small subunit ribosomal RNA", at positions 568 to 774 of the family's 1533-position model. The record is from RNAcentral.
CGCGUAGGCGGCUUUUCAAGUCGGGGGUGAAGGCCUGUGGCUCAACCACAGAAUUGCCUUCGAUACUGUUAGGCUUGAGACCGGAAGAGGUGAGUGGAACUGCGAGUGUAGAGGUGAAAUUCGUAGAUAUUCGCAAGAACACCAGUGGCGAAGGCGGCUCACUGGUCCGGUUCUGACGCUGAGGCGCGAAAGCGUGGGAGCAAACA